RNAcentral lists this ribosomal RNA (441 nucleotides) under uncultured bacterium. RNAcentral describes it as "partial 16S ribosomal RNA". It matches the Rfam family "Bacterial small subunit ribosomal RNA", at positions 28 to 507 of the family's 1533-position model. The record is from RNAcentral.
GAUGAACGCUGGCGGCGUGCCUAAUACAUGCAAGUCGAACGGGGAGUAGCAAUACUCUUAGUGCCGAACGGGUGAGUAACGCGUUGGUACCUGCGCCGAAGCGGGGGAUAUCGGACCGAAAGGACCGCUAAUACCCCAUGUGCUCGGCAACGAGUAUAGUUGAAAACCACUUUGGGUGGGGACUGCGGCCCAUCAGCUCGUUGGUAAGGUAACGGCUUACCAAGGCGAUGACGGGUAAGGUAACUGAGAGGGUGGCCCCCCACAACGGAACUGAGACACGGUCGAUAAUCCUACGCGUGGCAGCAGUAGGUGAUAUAGCAAAUGGGCGCGAGCGUGAACCGGCAACGCAGCGUGAGCGAUGACUGCCUUCGGGUUGUAAAGCUCUUUUGACCUAGGCGAGUAAUGACGGUACCGGUCGAAUCAGCCUCGGCUAACUACGUG